RNAcentral lists this ribosomal RNA (301 nucleotides) under uncultured bacterium. Its description in RNAcentral is "partial 16S ribosomal RNA". It matches the Rfam family "Bacterial small subunit ribosomal RNA", at positions 509 to 807 of the family's 1533-position model. The record is from RNAcentral.
CAGCAGCCACGGUAAUACAGAGGGUGCGAGCGUUAAUCGGAUUUACUGGGCGUAAAGCGUGCGUAGGCGGCUUUUUAAGUCGGAUGUGAAAUCCCUGAGCUUAACUUAGGAAUUGCAUUCGAUACUGGGAAGCUAGAGUAUGGGAGAGGAUGGUAGAAUUCCAGGUGUAGCGGUGAAAUGCGUAGAGAUCUGGAGGAAUACCGAUGGCGAAGGCAGCCAUCUGGCCUAAUACUGACGCUGAGGUACGAAAGCAUGGGGAGCAAACAGGAUUAGAUACCCCCGUAGUCCCUGUCUCUUAUAC